This 768-nucleotide unclassified non-coding RNA is filed under the name Homo sapiens (human). RNAcentral describes it as "partial intronic DNAJC3 antisense RNA". Lineage: Eukaryota; Metazoa; Chordata; Mammalia; Primates; Hominidae. The record is from RNAcentral.
CUCCUGGCCAUGGUUUGGUGCAGAGAAGUAGAGAGGGCAGGGCUAUACAGCAAAAUCAUUUUAGCGGGAAGCAGAAUGUCUGUGGAAACAGUGAAGCAGAGAGUACUGCGACUGUUAACUACAGAAGGCUGCCCUGGCCCCAGCACGCCUUACAUGCAGAAAACAAAAAAACAAAACUGACAUCCAGAGGACUAGCCCCACAAAUAGCUAGGGCAGUGAACUCCAACUCAUUUUAUGAUGAGUAAUAAUUUUUUUUUAACUGGCACAAUAUCACUUCAAAGAUAUUUUAAAAAUCAGGAAAAGAACAUGUAAAACUUAUCUAAUGAAUGUUCAUCAGAAAAACAUAGCCAAAGCAUACUAUUUUCUGAAUAGCCAUCAGAAAAACAAAACCAGAGGAAAUUCUGGGCAAGCAUCAUAGACAAAUUAUGUAACUUAAUCCAAUCACUUCCAUUAAGAGUAAUCACAAGGCAGAAUCAGAACUCAGGAAAGAGACCAGAUGACGAGGAGGUAAAAAUGUGAGCAAUCAGGACUCAAGAAAAAUAAGAACAAAUCAAAACUAUCAUAGACAUGAAGACAAAACAAGAAAGAGGACAAGGGAGAAGAUAAAAAUGAAGGAUCUAACAAAAGGAAAUGGAAAUAGAGAGUUUUAAAAGCCUGAGAUUCAUGUGUAUUGCAUAUUACUUUCACAAAAAUAAAAAUGUUCUAGAGCUAUGUUGCUAACAAUGUCAAUAUUCUUAACUAUAUAAUUGAAAAUAUUAGGCCGGGCGC